GAUGAACGCUGGCGGCGUGCCUAAUACAUGCAAGUCGAGCGAACAGACGAGGAGCUUGCUCCUUUCUCGUUAGCGGCGGGCGGGUGAGUAACACGUGGAUAACCUACCUCUCAGACUGGGAUAACUUCGGGAAACCGGAGCUAAUACCGUAUAAUAUAUUGAACCGCAUGGUUCUAUAGUGAAAGUCUGUUUUUCUGUUGCUUAUACAUGCAUCCGCGCCGCAUUAGCUAGUUUGUCAGGUAACGGCUUACCAAGGCAACCAAGCGUAGCCGACCUUAGGGGGUGAUCGGCCACCCUGGAACUGGAUCAGCGUCCAGACUACUGCGGGAUGCAGCAGAAGGGAACCUUACGCAGUAGGCGGGAGCCUUGCGGAGUGAGGCCGCGUGAGAUGUAACGGUCUUCGGAUCGUAAAACUCUGUUAUUAGGGAUAAACAAAUGUGUAAGUAAAUGUGCACGUAUUGACGGUACCUACUCAGAAAGCCACGGCUAACUACGUG
This 497-nucleotide ribosomal RNA is filed under the name uncultured bacterium. RNAcentral's name for it is "partial 16S ribosomal RNA". It matches the Rfam family "Bacterial small subunit ribosomal RNA", at positions 28 to 507 of the family's 1533-position model. The record is from RNAcentral.